UACAGCCAUAUCACAUUGAAAUACCAGUUCUCAUAUCAUCACUGAAGUUAAGCAAUGUCAAGCCUGGUCUGUACUUAGAUAGGUGACUGCUUGGGAAUACCAGUUGCUGUAAG
This is a non-coding RNA of Acanthosepion pharaonis, 113 nucleotides long. The record is from the annotation of a GenBank genome assembly. NCBI's taxonomy places the organism in Eukaryota, Metazoa, Mollusca, Cephalopoda, Sepiida, Sepiidae.